AACGCGAAGAACCUUACCUGGGUUUGACAUCCUCGGACAACCGUAGAGAUACGGCUUUUGUAGAAAUACAACCGAGAGACAGGUGCUGCAUGGCUGUCGUCAGCUCGUGUGGUGACAUGUUGGGUUAAGUCCCGCAACGAGCGCAACCCUUGUCUUUAGUUGCCAGCAUUCAGUUGGGCACUCUAAAGAGACUGCCGUGGUUAACACGGAGGAAGGUGGGGAUGACGUCAAGUCCUCAUGGCCUUUAUAUCCAGGGCGACACACGUGAUACAAUGGACGGUACAAAGGGAUGCCAAGGAGCAAUCCGGAGCAAAUCCCAAAAAUCCGUUCUCAGUUCGGAUUGGAGUCUGCAACUCGACUCCAUGAAGUUGGAAUCGCUAGUAAUCGCGGAUCAGCACGCCGCGGUGAAUACGUUCCCGGGCCUUGUACACACCGCGUGUCU
This 442-nucleotide ribosomal RNA is filed under the name uncultured bacterium. Its description in RNAcentral is "bacterial SSU rRNA". It matches the Rfam family "Bacterial small subunit ribosomal RNA", at positions 958 to 1399 of the family's 1533-position model. The record is from RNAcentral.